Molecule: non-coding RNA, 21 nt
Filed under: Caenorhabditis elegans
Lineage: Eukaryota; Metazoa; Nematoda; Chromadorea; Rhabditida; Rhabditidae
Source: RNAcentral
UACAAUGCGGAAAAAAAUACU